RNAcentral lists this ribosomal RNA (583 nucleotides) under Pyronema sp. BLE17. RNAcentral's name for it is "LSU rRNA". It matches the Rfam family "Eukaryotic large subunit ribosomal RNA", at positions 66 to 663 of the family's 3401-position model. Lineage: Eukaryota; Fungi; Ascomycota; Pezizomycetes; Pezizales; Pyronemataceae. The record is from RNAcentral.
CAACAGGGAUUGCCUCAGUAACUGCGAGUGAAGCGGCAAAAGCUCAAAUUUGAAAUCUGGCGCCUUCGGCGUCCGAGUUGUAAUUUGGAGAGGCAUCUUCGGAUAUGGCGCCGUCCUAAGUUCCUUGGAACAGGACGUCACAGAGGGUGAGAAUCCCGUGCCUGGUCGGCUGUCCAUAUCCAUGUGAAGUGUCUUCGACGAGUCGAGUUGUUUGGGAAUGCAGCUCAAAAUGGGUGGUAAAUUUCAUCUAAAGCUAAAUAUUGGCGAGAGACCGAUAGCGCACAAGUAGAGUGAUCGAAAGAUGAAAAGAACUUUGAAAAGAGAGUUAAAAAGUACGUGAAAUUGUUGAAAGGGAAGCGCUUGAGACCCCACUCGAUCUUUGGUGAUCAGCUAGGCUUCUGUCUGGUGCACUUGCCAUUGAUUGGGCCAGCAUCGGUUCUGACGGCGGGAUAAAAGGCAGAGGAAUGUGGCUCUCUUCGGGGAGUGUUAUAGCCUCAGUCAUAAUGCCGCCAGUUGGGACCGAGGACCGCGCUUCGGCUAGGAUGCUGGCAUAAAGGUCUUAAGCGACCCGUCUUGAAACACG